ACGUAGGUGUCGAGCGUUGUCCGGAUUUAUUGGGCGUAAAGAGCCCGCAGGCGGCCUGACAAGUUUGAGGUGAAAUCUCCCGGCUUAACUGGGAGGGGGCCUCGAAAACUGCCAGGCUUGAGGCAUGGAGAGGGAUGCGGAAUUCCCGGUGUAGUGGUGAAAUGCGUAGAUAUCGGGAGGAACACCAGUGGCGAAGGCGGCAUCCUGGCCAUGUCCUGACGCUCAGGGGCGAAAGCGUGGGGAGCAAACCGGAUUAGAUACCCGGGUAGUCCACGCCGUAAACGAUGAGUACUAGGUGUAGGGGGUAUCGACCCCCUCUGUGCCGAAGCUAACGCGAUAAGUACUCCGCCUGGGGACUACGGCCGCAAGGCUA
This 373-nucleotide ribosomal RNA is filed under the name uncultured bacterium. Its description in RNAcentral is "bacterial SSU rRNA". It matches the Rfam family "Bacterial small subunit ribosomal RNA", at positions 525 to 896 of the family's 1533-position model. The record is from RNAcentral.